AGAGUUUGAUCCUGGCUCAGGAUGAACGCUAGCGGGAGGCUUAAUACAUGCAAGUCGAGGGGUAACAUUGGUGCUUGCAUCAGAUGACGACCGGCGCACGGGUGAGUAACGCGUACACAACCUACCUUUAAGAGGGGGAUAGCCUUGGGAAACUGAGAUUAAUACCCCAUGUGAUUGUUGAGACUAUAUUUUGGCAAUUAAAGGAUUCGUCCGUUUAGAGAUGGGUGUGCGUACCAUUAGAUAGUUGGUAAGGUAACGGCUUACCAAGUCGACGAUGGUUAGGGGGCGUGAGAGCGUGACCCCCCACACGGGUACUGAGACACGGACCCGACUCCUACGGGAGGCAGCAGUAAGGAAUAUUGGACAAUGGGCGCAAGCCUGAUCCAGCCAUCCCGCGUGCAGGACGACGGCCCUCUGGGUUGUAAACUGCUUUUGUUAGGGAAGAAACCCCGGAAUUUAUUUUGGGCUGACGGUACCUAAAGAAUAAGCACCGGCUAACUCCGUGCCAGCAGCCGCGGUAAUACGGAGGGUGCAAGCGUUAUCCGGAAUCACUGGGUUUAAAGGGUGCGUAGGCGGCGUUAUAAGUCAGAGGUGAAAGGCCACCGCUUAACGGUGGGACUGCCUUUGAUACUGUAGUGCUUGAAUAAGGUUGAGGUUAGCGGAAUGUGACAUGUAGCGGUGAAAUG
This 686-nucleotide ribosomal RNA is filed under the name uncultured Bacteroidota bacterium. RNAcentral's name for it is "bacterial SSU rRNA". It matches the Rfam family "Bacterial small subunit ribosomal RNA", at positions 8 to 688 of the family's 1533-position model. Lineage: Bacteria; Pseudomonadati; Bacteroidota. The record is from RNAcentral.